RNAcentral lists this ribosomal RNA (238 nucleotides) under uncultured bacterium. Its description in RNAcentral is "partial 16S ribosomal RNA". It matches the Rfam family "Bacterial small subunit ribosomal RNA", at positions 96 to 334 of the family's 1533-position model. The record is from RNAcentral.
CGGCGGACGGGUGAGUAACGCGUGGGUAACCUACCCUGUACACACGGAUAACAUACCGAAAGGUAUGCUAAUACAGGAUAAUAUAUUUGAGAGGCAUCUCUUGAAUAUCAAAGGUGAGCCAGUACAGGAUGGACCCGCGUCUGAUUAGCUAGUUGGUAAGGUAACGGCUUACCAAGGCGACGAUCAGUAGCCGACCUGAGAGGGUGAUCGGCCACAUUGGAACUGGGACACGGUCCAA